UGCCAGCCGCCGCGGUAAUACGGAGGGUGCAAGCGUUAAUCGGAAUUACUGGGCGUAAAGCGCGCGUAGGCGGUUAUUUAAGUCGGAUGUGAAAGCCCCGGGCUCAACCUGGGAACUGCAUUCGAUACUGGAUAACUAGAGUACGAGAGAGGGAGGUAGAAUUCCACGUGUAGCGGUGAAAUGCGUAGACAUGUGGAGGAAUACCAGUGGCGAAGGCGGCUUUCUGGACCGAUACUGACGCUGAGACACGAAAGCGUGGGGAGCAAACAGGAUUAGAUA
This 279-nucleotide ribosomal RNA is filed under the name uncultured bacterium. RNAcentral describes it as "partial 16S ribosomal RNA". It matches the Rfam family "Bacterial small subunit ribosomal RNA", at positions 506 to 784 of the family's 1533-position model. The record is from RNAcentral.